This 498-nucleotide ribosomal RNA is filed under the name uncultured bacterium. RNAcentral's name for it is "bacterial SSU rRNA". It matches the Rfam family "Bacterial small subunit ribosomal RNA", at positions 202 to 714 of the family's 1533-position model. The record is from RNAcentral.
CUUCGGACCUCUUGCUAAUAGAUGAGCCUAGUCGGAUUAGCUAGUUGGUGAGGUAAAGGCUCGACCAAGGCGACGAUCUGUAGCUGGGUCUGAGAGGAUGGCCAGCCACACUGGAACUGAGACACGGUCCAAACUCCUACGGGAGGCAGCAGUGGGGAAUAUUGCGCAAUGGAGAAGAACUCUGACGCAGCAAUACCGCGUGAGCGAAGAAGGUCUUCGGAUCGUAAAGCUCUGUUAUCAGGGAAGAAGAAAAUGACGGUACCUGAUGAGCAAGUCCCGGCUAACUACGUGCCAGCAGCCGCGGUAAUACGUAGGGGACAAGCGUUGUCCGGAAUCACUGGGCGUAAAGGGCGCGCAGGCGGUGAUUUAAGCAGGAUGUGAAAGGCUACGGCUCAACCGUAGACAUGCACCCUGAACUGGGUCACUUGAGUAUUGGAGAGGCAGGCAGAAUUCCUGGUGUAGCGGUGAAAUGCGUAGAUAUCAGGAGGAAUACCGGAG